This 77-nucleotide transfer RNA is filed under the name Clostridiales bacterium. Its description in RNAcentral is "tRNA-Ala". It matches the Rfam family "tRNA". From Rfam's summary of the family: Transfer RNA (tRNA) molecules are approximately 80 nucleotides in length. Their secondary structure includes four short double-helical elements and three loops (D, anti-codon, and T loops). Lineage: Bacteria; Bacillati; Bacillota; Clostridia; Eubacteriales. The record is from RNAcentral. RNAcentral also lists the same sequence under 1 other name.
GGGGAUAUAGCUCAGUCUGGGAGAGCGCUUGACUGGCAGUCAAGAGGUCAGGGGUUCGAGUCCCCUUAUCUCCACCA